Oreochromis niloticus (Nile tilapia) is the source of this 604-nucleotide long non-coding RNA. RefSeq lists it as uncharacterized. The transcript has 3 exons. The record is from RefSeq and is a predicted model, not a curated record. Lineage: Eukaryota; Metazoa; Chordata; Actinopteri; Cichliformes; Cichlidae.
GGUGGUUUAUUGUGUUUAUUCUGGUGGUUUUACUAUUUUAUUUUUUAUUUCACUCUCACAAAAAGCUCUGCUGUACAUCUGUGAAGACAAAUAUAUACACAAGAGAAUUUUAUACCUUAUAGCUCACAAGUAAAACAGACAUGAUCUGUGAAUUCAGAGCAGAGCAAAACAUUUGGGGGACCUGUGCCAAACAGUUAAUUCUGUUCGCCUGGACGUAGCGUUUUCAGUGGGAGAAGCGCUCCGUCACUCAUCCUGCACUGAGUCAAAAAAUGCCGCAAGCCGCAACCUGUGUUUGAAUUCAGACUUUCCAUGUUGUCCAGUUUCAGGCAAGGGAACUGAAAAGUGUGCUGAGGAUAAAUGAUCAAUUAGGCAGAUGUAAAUGAACAACAGCUACAGGCUGGAGGCUCUGACAUCACACCUGAUGGAGAACCUGGAGAGCUGGUCCUUGCUGAUCUUCGGCCCCAGGGCAUUUCAGUCACUGAAGACAUCUUCACCACCUGCUCUUCCAGACGACGGACUCGUGCCUGAACACCUGCAGGUUAACCAACCAACCACUGAUCAGUAAAGCAAAAAAAGGAAACAAUGAGGAUCAUGUUUGCUGGUU